UACGUAGGGUGCGAGCGUUGUCCGGAAUUAUUGGGCGUAAAGGGCUCGUAGGCGGUUUGUCGCGUCGGAAGUGAAAACACGGGGCUUAACUCUGUGCUUGCUUUCGAUACGGGCAGACUAGAGGGAUGCAGGGGAGAACGGAAUUCCUGGUGUAGCGGUGAAAUGCGCAGAUAUCAGGAGGAACACCGGUGGCGAAGGCGGCUUCCUGGACCGACACUGACGCUGAGGCGCGAAAGCUAGGGGAGCAAACGGG
Molecule: ribosomal RNA, 253 nt
Filed under: uncultured bacterium
Lineage: Bacteria
Description: partial 16S ribosomal RNA
Rfam family: Bacterial small subunit ribosomal RNA
Source: RNAcentral